Molecule: ribosomal RNA, 253 nt
Filed under: uncultured bacterium
Lineage: Bacteria
Description: partial 16S ribosomal RNA
Rfam family: Bacterial small subunit ribosomal RNA
Source: RNAcentral
UACGUAGGCGGCGAGCGUUGUUCGGAGUUACUGGGCGUAAAGGGUGCGUAGGCGGUUGUUUAAGUUUGGUGUGAAAUCUCCCGGCUCAACUGGGAGGGUGCGCCGAAUACUGAAUGACUAGAGUGCGGGAGAGGAGAGUGGAAUUCCUGGUGUAGCGGUGAAAUGCGUAGAUAUCAGGAGGAACACCGGUGGUGUAGACGGCUCUCUGGACCGUAACUGACGCUGAGGCACGAAAGCGUGGGUAGCAAACAGG